ACAUUUUAAAAAGUUACAGAUGUGACAGUUGUUUCACGUGUGUCAUUAGGUGGGGGCUGGGGAGGUUUCCAUGUCUAGUGUUCUAACCUGUGAGCAACUGGAUGAUAAAAAAUCUGACACU
Molecule: small nucleolar RNA, 121 nt
Filed under: Erinaceus europaeus (western European hedgehog)
Lineage: Eukaryota; Metazoa; Chordata; Mammalia; Eulipotyphla; Erinaceidae
Description: Small nucleolar RNA SNORA17
Rfam family: Small nucleolar RNA SNORA17
About the family: snoRNA ACA 17 belongs to the H/ACA family of snoRNAs and is predicted to guide pseudouridylation of the 28S rRNA at positions U4659 and U4598.
Source: Rfam by way of RNAcentral